CUUCUCCUUCUCCUUCUCCUUCUUCCCUUCUAUAAGUAUCGCACCCCCCAAAACUUCUCUCUUUUCUCUCUCCUCUCGCAGAUUACCGUUCGACCCAGAGGGUUUAACUGGGGUUUAAGCCCACCAUCUCUACCUCAAUAUGCUAUAAUUUAAAUCAAGCAAUUUUCUUGCUUUUCCGGAUAGAGGGGCUAAGGCUUGUUCAAGCUGAAGCUGGUCGUUUUUGGAGCACUGUCUUCUGAGCUCAUCUUCUUCGAUGCUCAAAGCCUCAAAGUAGAUCCAAACCCUAGAACUGACCGCAUUUUAUUUGUUACCCAAUGAAAGGUCAUCGAUGAAAUGACUAUUUGUGGGUGGAAUAAGGUGGAUUUUGGAGGAAAUUAUAACAGCGAAUGGUGCAUUUGGAUUUGCAACAUCGAAUGAAGUGAUAUGUGGUGUUGAAUAUGAGCGAUGGAGGUCGGGAGAGUGAAAGAGAGCCUGAAAAACCAGCUCGUCAGAAGAGAGCCGGUGGAGAUGAAUUGGCCCGAGCGGCUUCAAGGCUUGCUGUAGCACAGAUAUGUGAGAGCCAGGGGUUUCAGACUUUUCAGCACUCUGCUCUUGAAACACUGUCUGACGUUGCUGUUCGGUACAUUUAUGACAUCGGCAAGACUGCAAAUUUCUAUGCCAAUCUUUCAGGUAGAACGGAGUGCAAUGCUUUUGAUAUAAUUCAAGGGUUGGAAGAUUUGGGCUUGGCACAGGGGUUUUUGGGUGCUUCAGAUAUUGAGCAUUGCCUUGCAAAUUCAGGCACAGUUAAGGAACUUGUUCAGUAUGUUGAUGAAGCUGAAAAGAUCCCAUUUGCAUAUUCUCUUCCGCAGUUUCCAGUUGCUAUAGAUCGGAAGCUAACUCCAAGUUUUUUACAAAUUGGGGAAGAGCCUCCAGGUGAGCAUAUACCCGCUUGGCUGCCUGCUUUUCCUGAUCCCAGCACUUAUGCUCCGUCAUCUUCUAGGAUUGAGAGAAGUACAGAACCUCCCACGGCUAAGAUUGACCAGGAAAGCCGCAACAGAAAGGUAGAAAGGUCUUUGUUGAACUUACAUCAACGGUUAGCUUGUAGUGGAUUGGAAGGACCCUCCGUAGUCAACCAUGGGGAUGCUACUAAGGCAAAACAAGCAGUUGGAAGUAAUCCGUUUCUUGCUGCACCUCUGCAAUUCGGAGAAAAGGAGGUGUCUCCUGUUCUUCUUCCAGCGAAAGUGAAGCUUUUAAAUGAAGCAACCAUGAGAAAUCCUAGUAUGGAAAAUCAUGGCAGGGAUAAUCAUGUCUCAGUGUUAGAGGCAUUGGCUCCAGAUAUUGAAGCAAUGGAAAUCAGAUUACUUGAUUCUGAAGAAAAAGAAAAAGAGGGUCUUUUGAACAGCAGGCCAGCUGUACAAUUUAAGAUUGGUAUUGGAAGGAAGUCCUUAGGGACAAUGCACGAUUUAAGCCUCCAGAAAAAGAGUUUUGAGGUAACUUCACCAUGGUUUGGGAGGGAAAAUGAGAAGGAUGACAAGAAGAUGAGGGCCGAGAAAAUUCUGAAAGAGUCUAUGGGACACACACAGGAACUGGGUCAUUUGUAAAUUAGGUUUGUUUCAUUAGAAUUUUAUACUUGUUUAUGAGAAUCAUGACAAAUGAUGGUUCCAGGGUAAUCGUUGUCAAGGGCAUAAUGUUUUCUGCAUAGGGCAUUAUAGAUUGGAUACAACAAACCGCAUGCAGAAAUGUUCCCACAUUAAAAAGUUUUUGAGGGCUUUGUUCUCGGUGGCAAUUGAGCUAGAUCUACUGGAAUCCAUUCCCCUUCUUCAGGAUCUCGAGCCUCGUAAUCUGUAGCAAGAAUUUUGAGGAGAAUUC
Juglans regia (Persian walnut) is the source of this 1848-nucleotide RNA transcript. It is a transcript of the gene named transcription initiation factor TFIID subunit 8-like, with no coding region annotated. Lineage: Eukaryota; Viridiplantae; Streptophyta; Magnoliopsida; Fagales; Juglandaceae. The record is from RefSeq and is a predicted model, not a curated record. The transcript has 3 exons.